Coffea arabica (coffee) is the source of this 1050-nucleotide long non-coding RNA. RefSeq lists it as uncharacterized. The record is from RefSeq and is a predicted model, not a curated record. NCBI's taxonomy places the organism in Eukaryota, Viridiplantae, Streptophyta, Magnoliopsida, Gentianales, Rubiaceae.
UCCAGUCAGACUGCAGAAGAACAGAGCAAGUAUCUCCAAGAAAAACUUCACCCCCAUCUUCUUCUUCAUAGGCUUUUCUUCCUCUUGAUCAGCCGCAUCUUCGUUCCCCGCCUUUUUUCCUUUUUUUUUGUAAAUGUUGAUUAAACAAACAAGAUUGCUUCCACCUAUUAUUCUAUGGAUCUUAAUCUUUUUGGAAACUUUCAUAUUAAGGUAUGCUUGAACUAUUCUACACUUUGCACGGAUGAAACCAAUAAAAAACAAAUGAAGUUCAAAGGAGUUAUCUGAGCUGCCGCCGAGAUGAAAAGGGGAAAUAAUUGCUAAGAGAGCCUUUAGGUUUUUUGGUUGUACAAGUGCUUGCUUCAUGGUGACUGGUUCUGCUCUUGGUUCGGUGAAUUUCUAGAGAUCUUAACCUUCUCUUCAGCAGACUCCUACCCAUGUGUACAAGAAGUUAGGAAGCUGAUUCUAGCAGUGAUAAAAGUAAAAUUCAAUUUUCCUGGCAUGUUCUUUAUGGGAAAUCGCUUAUGUGAAUGCAACUAUAGAUUACCUCAGAAUCAUCAAACGAAUCAGCUCUUCAAAGCACAAAGCCAUCUGCUGCAGACUUCAAGAUUAACUGGAUAACCAAAUGGAUAGAGAGCAUCCCUGGUUCAUUAUACUGCAAUCGCUUCUUCCUUGAAUGAGCUGUGUAUUUCCUAGCACUUACUAACAAAGACUUCUAAAUGAACUCCAUAAGUAAAUGGAUGAAGCAUAUCUUUGCCUCACGUAGAGAACUACAAGAAAGACUGGAAGCAUAUGCAGCUCUCCACUUCCGAUUGUGUCGAGUCUUGUGUUGAGCAUUGUGUCAAGUCUUCAUGGGUGCUAGUACUUGAGAGAAAAAGGGCAUUUCAUAGCCUUUUUGUAUUUUUGUAAUUUAUACCUUUUGAAACAUUAUGAAUAUUGUGCUGAUACUGCUUUCUGUUGGUAAAAUCUGGGGGAGAAAGAAAUCCAGCAAGUCCUGUAACUUACAAUUAUACUUUUUUGUUUUAUUCCUAGAUGAGAGUCCCAUUUUCUCAA